UCCGUAGGUGAACCUGCGGAAGGAUCAUUACCGAGUGAGGGCCCUCUGGGUCCAACCUCCCACCCGUGUUUAUUUUACCUUGUUGCUUCGGCGGGCCCGCCUUAACUGGCCGCCGGGGGGCUUACGCCCCCGGGCCCGCGCCCGCCGAAGACACCCUCGAACUCUGUCUGAAGAUUGUAGUCUGAGUGAAAAUAUAAAUUAUUUAAAACUUUCAACAACGGAUCUCUUGGUUCCGGCAUCGAUGAAGAACGCAGCGAAAUGCGAUACGUAAUGUGAAUUGCAAAUUCAGUGAAUCAUCGAGUCUUUGAACGCACAUUGCGCCCCCUGGUAUUCCGGGGGGCAUGCCUGUCCGAGCGUCAUUUCUGCCCUCAAGCACGGCUUGUGUGUUGGGCCCCGUCCUCCGAUCCCGGGGGACGGGCCCGAAAGGCAGCGGCGGCACCGCGUCCGGUCCUCGAGCGUAUGGGGCUUUGUCACCCGCUCUGUAGGCCCGGCCGGCGCUUGCCGAUCAACCCAAAUUUUUAUCCAGGUUGACCUCGGAUCAGGUAGGGAUACCCGCUGAACUUAAGCAUAUCAAUAAGCGAAGAUCAUAGGGAUACCCGCUGAACUUAAGCAUAUCAAUAAGCGAAGAUCAUUACCGAGUGAGGGCCCUCUGGGUCAACCUCCCACCCGUGUUUAUUUUACCUUGUUGCUUCGGCGGGCCGCCUUAACUGGCGCCGGGGGCUUACGCCCCGGGCCGCG
This 738-nucleotide ribosomal RNA is filed under the name Penicillium chrysogenum. Its description in RNAcentral is "eukaryotic LSU rRNA". The stretch from base 207 to 359 matches the Rfam family "5.8S ribosomal RNA". Lineage: Eukaryota; Fungi; Ascomycota; Eurotiomycetes; Eurotiales; Aspergillaceae. The record is from RNAcentral.